Dromaius novaehollandiae (emu) is the source of this 731-nucleotide long non-coding RNA. RefSeq lists it as uncharacterized. NCBI's taxonomy places the organism in Eukaryota, Metazoa, Chordata, Aves, Casuariiformes, Dromaiidae. The transcript has 3 exons. The record is from RefSeq and is a predicted model, not a curated record.
AAGAUUUUUUUCCCAUUUCAGGGGUCAAGCCGAGCUCCCGGGGGUAUCCGGAUGGCUUCAGUCCCAGUCCAGCAGCUCUGGGCACGGAGGCAACAGGGAGCGAGCAGUGAGCACAGACCCCAGCUGCCACCCAUGAGCACCCCAGUCUGCCCUCAGGACCACAUCCCUGCUGCCACCUCCUCGGCUGGAAGGUGCAACACACCGGGGAGGCUGCAGACACCCUCCUCCUUCCCGCAUCCCGGACCUUAGCUGCUGCCGGGGCCAAGCACAGGCAGUAAAACUUCUGGGCAAGGCUGCACAAAGCCCUGAAACAGCCGCAGAGAAAGGUGAUGCAACCACGAGGCUGCUCUUCACACCAGCACAUGGAAGAAGCAGUAUCUCAGGGGGCACUGAGCUACUUUCCCUGAAGAUUUGUGAAAGCAUUUUGUAGAAAGGAAUUAUUUUCCUCUGAAAUGCAACCACCUCUGUGGACAACAGCUGCAGAACUGCUCAGCCCAUCAGUGUGGGACAGAGGGACGGAGGACACCGAGCUAAGGGAUUAUGGAGACCUGGUGUUGUUCACACCAGCCGGGGGAAGUAUCUUGGUGCUUCUGGACUAGAAAUUGCUUCAGAGCAAACUCCGUUAAAUCUUUGCUAACGUGACAGGCUUCUUUAGACGUCCCUGAGAGGUGCAGAGGCUCAGUAUUGCUUGAAUAAAAAUGAGAUGUUUUGGUCUUGAUUUUGCACCCAGU